UUGGAGGGCAAGUCUGGUGCCAGCAGCCGCGGUAAUUCCAGCUCCAAUAGCGUAUAUUAAAGUUGUUGCAGUUAAAAAGCUCGUAGUUGAAUUUCGGGGUCAGCAGGUUGGUCGUGCCAAUGGUAUGCACUGGCCUUGGUGAUUCCUCCCUCUUGUAGAACCGUAAUGCCAUUAAGUUGGUGUUGCGGGGAAACAGGACUGUUACUUUGAAAAAAUUAGAGUGUUUAAAGCAGGCUAACGCCUGAAUACAUUAGCAUGGAAUAAUGAAAUAGGACGAUCGAUCCUAUUUUGUUGGUUUCUAGGAUUGACGUAAUGAUUAAUAGGGAUAGUUGGGGGCAUUAGUAUUCAAUUGUCAGAGGUGAAAUUCUUGGAUUUAUUGAAGACUAACUACUGCGAAAGCAUUUGCCAAGGAUGUUUUCAUUAAUCAAGAACGAAAGUUAGGGGAUCGAAGACGAUCAGAUACCGUCGUAGUCUUAACCAUAAACUAUGCCGACUAGGGAUCGGAUGAUGUUAAUUUUUUAAUGACUCAUUCGGCGCCUUACGGGAAAC
Molecule: ribosomal RNA, 549 nt
Filed under: uncultured Glomus
Lineage: Eukaryota; Fungi; Glomeromycota; Glomeromycetes; Glomerales; Glomeraceae
Description: SSU rRNA
Rfam family: Eukaryotic small subunit ribosomal RNA
Source: RNAcentral